Molecule: ribosomal RNA, 249 nt
Filed under: uncultured bacterium
Lineage: Bacteria
Description: partial 16S ribosomal RNA
Rfam family: Bacterial small subunit ribosomal RNA
Source: RNAcentral
CGUAGGUGCAAGCGUUGUCCGGAAUUAUUGGGCGUAAAGAGCUCGUAGGCGGUUUGUCGCGUCUGCUGUGAAAUCUGGGGCUCAACCCCCAGCCUGCAGUGGGUACGGCAGACUAGAGUGCGGUAGGGAGAUUGGAAUUCCUGGUGUAGCGGUGGAAUGCGCAGAUAUCAGGAGGAACACCGAUGGCGAAGGCAGAUCUCUGGGCCGUAACUGACGCUGAGGAGCGAAAGCAUGGGAGCGAACAGGAUU